ACGCUGGCGGCGUGCCUAAUACAUGCAAGUAGAACGCUGAAGGAGGAGCUUGCUUCUCUGGAUGAGUUGCGAACGGGUGAGUAACGCGUAGGUAACCUGCCUGGUAGCGGGGGAUAGCUAUUGGAAACGAUAGCUAAUACCGCAUAACAGUAGAUGUUGCAUGACAUUUGCUUAAAGGGUGCAAUUGCAUCACUACAGAUGGACCUGCGUUGUAUUAGCUAGUUGGUGGGGUAACGGCUCACCAAGGCGACGAUACAUAGCCGACCUGAGAGGGUGAUCGGCCACACUGGGACUGAGACACGGCCCAGACUCCUACGGGAGGCAGCAGUAGGGAAUCUUCGGCAAUGGACGGAAGUCUGACCGAGCAACGCCGCGUGAGUGAAGAAGGUUUUCGGAUCGUAAAGCUCUGUUGUAAGAGAAGAACAGGUGUGAGAGUGGAAAGUUCACACUGUGACGGUAUCUUACCAGAAAGGGACGGCUAACUACGUGCCAGCAGCCGCGGUAAUACGUAGGUCCCGAGCGUUGUCCGGAUUUAUUGGGCGUAAAGCGAGCGCAGGCGGUUAGAUAAGUCUGAAGUUAAAGGCUGUGGCUUAACCAUAGUACGCUUUGGAAACUGUUUAACUUGAGUGCAAGAGGGGAGAGUGGAAUUCCAUGUGUAGCGGUGAAAUGCGUAGAUAUAUGGAGGAACACCGGUGGCGAAAGCGGCUCUCUGGCUUGUAACUGACGCUGAGGCUCGAAAGCGUGGGGAGCAAACAGGAUUAGAUACCCCUGGUAGUCCACGCCGUAAACGAUGAGUGCUAGGUGUUAGACCCUUUCCGGGGUUUAGUGCCGCAGCUAACGCAUUAAGCACUCCGCCUGGGGAGUACGACCGCAAGGUUGAAACUCAAAGGAAUUGAC
RNAcentral lists this ribosomal RNA (897 nucleotides) under uncultured bacterium. RNAcentral describes it as "bacterial SSU rRNA". It matches the Rfam family "Bacterial small subunit ribosomal RNA", at positions 33 to 914 of the family's 1533-position model. The record is from RNAcentral.